RNAcentral lists this ribosomal RNA (668 nucleotides) under uncultured bacterium. RNAcentral's name for it is "bacterial SSU rRNA". It matches the Rfam family "Bacterial small subunit ribosomal RNA", at positions 94 to 802 of the family's 1533-position model. The record is from RNAcentral.
AGUGGCAAACGGGUGAGUAUAAUGUGGGAAUCUGCCUUUUGGUUCGGAAUAACACGAGGAAACUUGUGCUAAUACCGGAUAAGCCUUCACAGGGAAAGUUUUAAUGCCAAAAGAUGAGCCCGCACUUGAUUAGCUAGUUGGUAAGGUAAUAGCUUACCAAGGCAACGAUCAAUAGCUGUUCUUAGAGGAAGACCAGCCACAUUGGGACUGAGACACGGCCCAAACUCCUACGGGAGGCAGCAGUGGGGAAUCUUGCACAAUGGGGGAAACCCUGAUGCAGCGAUGCCGCGUGAGUGAAGAAGGCCCUUGGGUUGUAAAACUCUUUCGUCGGGGAAGAAAAUGACUGUACCCGAAUAAGAAGGUCCGGCUAACUUCGUGCCAGCAGCCGCGGUAAUACGAAGGGACCUAGCGUAGUUCGGAAUUACUGGGCUUAAAGAGUUCGUAGGUGGUUAAAAAAGUUGAUGGUGAAAUCCCAAGGCUCAACCUUGGAACUGCCAUCAAAACUUUUUAGCUAGAGUAUGAUAGAGGAAAGUGGAAUUUCUAGUGUAGAGGUGAAAUUCGUAGAUAUUAGAAAGAACAUCAAAUGCGAAGGCAACUUUCUGGAUCAUUACUGACACUGAGAACGAAGCAUGGCUAGCGAGAGAUAGAUACCCUCGUAGUCCAUGCGU